AUUGAACGCUGGCGGCAUGCCUUACACAUGCAAGUCGAACGGUAACGCGGGGCAACCUGGCGACGAGUGGCGAACGGGUGAGUAAUACAUCGGAACGUGCCCAGUAGUGGGGGAUAGCCCGGCGAAAGCCGGAUUAAUACCGCAUACGACCUACGGGUGAAAGCGGGGGAUCGCAAGACCUCGCGCUAUUGGAGCGGCCGAUGUCAGAUUAGGUAGUUGGUGGGGUAAAGGCCUACCAAGCCUACGAUCUGUAGCUGGUCUGAGAGGACGACCAGCCACACUGGGACUGAGACACGGCCCAGACUCCUACGGGAGGCAGCAGUGGGGAAUUUUGGACAAUGGGCGCAAGCCUGAUCCAGCCAUGCCGCGUGCGGGAAGAAGGCCUCGGUUGUAACCGCUUUGUCAGGAAGAAACGACUCUGGGCGUAAUACCCU
RNAcentral lists this ribosomal RNA (434 nucleotides) under uncultured bacterium. RNAcentral's name for it is "bacterial SSU rRNA". It matches the Rfam family "Bacterial small subunit ribosomal RNA", at positions 29 to 481 of the family's 1533-position model. The record is from RNAcentral.